RNAcentral lists this ribosomal RNA (438 nucleotides) under uncultured bacterium. RNAcentral's name for it is "bacterial SSU rRNA". It matches the Rfam family "Bacterial small subunit ribosomal RNA", at positions 28 to 477 of the family's 1533-position model. The record is from RNAcentral.
GACGAACGCUGGCGGCGUGCUUAACACAUGCAAGUCGAACGGAAAGGCCCUGCUUUUGUGGGGUGCUCGAGUGGCGAACGGGUGAGUAACACGUGAGUAACCUGCCCUUGACUUUGGGAUAACUUCAGGAAACUGGGGCUAAUACCGGAUAGGAGCUCCUGCUGCAUGGUGGGGGUUGGAAAGUUUCGGCGGUUGGGGAUGGACUCGCGGCUUAUCAGCUUGUUGGUGGGGUAGUGGCUUACCAAGGCUUUGACGGGUAGCCGGCCUGAGAGGGUGACCGGCCACAUUGGGACUGAGAUACGGCCCAGACUCCUACGGGAGGCAGCAGUGGGGAAUAUUGCACAAUGGGCGGAAGCCUGAUGCAGCAACGCCGCGUGCGGGAUGACGGCCUUCGGGUUGUAAACCGCUUUCGCCUGUGACGAAGCGUGAGUGACGGUA